CGGUACCACAUAAUAUGCGAGAAUACCUUCUCCAGUAUGUUGGAGAGAAGAUUAGCAAGAAAAAGGCGGGUGAGAAAAUGAGAAGUUGACAUAAAAAGAUUUUUUUCAUUAUCGAAAGGGACAUGUACAACAUCCAUAAUGGUGUGUCUGACGGAAUUUGUCAUUUCAUUAAUAAAUAAUGCUGAUAAAGGUGCAAACUUAGCAAUUGUGCCCAAAAAGUGACAGCUUUGACAAGGAAAUAUAUCCAUAUAUAACAGUUACUGGUACUGUCUGAAUGCAGUGAAAGGAUCCAGAUGAACAGAUGAAGAGAUUAAGUACAAUGUACAUCAAUUACUUGGAUGAAGAGAAUCUGCAACAUGGGGAAAUAAUGUUCCUGUAGAAAAGUCAAAGAAUGUAUACAUGUGAGAUUCUGAAGUAGCCAUACAUGAUGAGUAGGAAUUUGAAGUGAAUUAUGGGAAAAGUGAAAUGGUAAAAAAGAAACUGCUAGCGCUACUGUGCAGACUACCAUCAAUCAACAUGAUCAACAAAAUCAAGUAAUCCUUCUGAAGAUGGAGUACUACACAAGCACAAUUUUUUAAAGAAAGAAAAGUCAAUGGAAUGAAAGCCAAAGAAAAGGUGAAGUGAAUUGUCACUCAUUAUAUUUUAAAUUUAAUGUGGACAUGGUCAUUAUUUUAGUUAUGUCAUAACCUUCUUAUCAAUUUUAAGCAGUGCAGACAGAUACAUUUCUUAUUGCUUUGAAUAGAAUAAAUUAUCAAAAAAGUUUGUAUAUGUUUUUUGAUAUUGAAUUAAAAUUAAAAAAAAAAAAAAUCAAUUACUGCAGUUUUGAAUUUCAGUACACUAGAAAUUUUUCUGCCCUGCCAUGAUUAUGGCUGGGGCAUAUAGAGUUUGUCAUGUCCGUCUUCCGUCCUUCCAACCUUCUGUCUGUCCUUCCAUUCCGCUUUGCUUUUAGCUCAGUUCAAAACUAAGUUUCAAAGAAACUAUUCAAGAUAUUUUUAUCAAUCAGCAUAUGCUGAUACAUAUUGAUGAGAGGUAUUCAAUUUCAUCAACAUUUUUUUUACCUUGACGUAUCCUUUAACUUUGACCUCACUUUUCUUAAAUUAGUGUUUAGCUCAGUUUUAAAGAAACCAUUCAAGAUAGUGUAAUCAAACUUCAUAUGCUGAUACAUACUGAAUCAACAUUUUUUUACCUUGACCUUUCCUUUGACCUUGAACGUACUUAUCUUAAAUAAGUGUUUAGCUCAGUUUUAAAGAAACCAUUCAGGAUAGCGUAAUCAAACUUCAUUUGCUGAUACAUACUGAUGAGAGCUAUUCAACUGCAUCAACAUUUUUUGAUCUUGAUCUUUCCUUUGACCUUCACCUCACUUUUCCUAAAUUAGUGUCAAACUUCAUAUGCUGAUACAGACUGAUGUAAGGUAUUCGACUGUAUCAACAUUUUUUACCUUGACAUUUCAUUUGACCUUGACUUCAUUUUUCUUGAAAUAGUGAUUAGCUCAGUGUUAAAUAAACGGUUUCCAUUCAAAAUAUUUUUAUCAAACUUAUUUUGCUUAUGCGUAUUAGUGAGAACUAUUUAACUGCAUCAAAAAUGUAUGACCUUGAACUUUCCUGUGACCUGGACCUCACUUUUCUUAAAUUUGCAUUUUGCUUAGUUUUAAAGAAACCAUUAAAGAUAAUUUUAUGUGAGCUUAUGCACUUAACAGAAUUUGGUGAGAAUUUAUCAUCUAUAUCCAACUUCUUUGAUUUCAAUGUUAAAGAAACUAUUUUAAAAUAUUCUCAUCAAAUUUCAUACACUAAAAAUAUUUUUGUGUUGCAUUACUAAUAUGCCCACAUGAUGCAGUGGUUAAAGCUCUAGAGUUGCGGAGUAAGGAGUUGAUCCUUAUGUCGCUGGUUCGAAUCCCACUGUGGGACGUGGAGACCGUAUAAACCGAGGUCCCAUGUCACAGUAGGUGUUGGCACGAAAAAGAUCCCUCACUGCUUAAUGGCCCUUAGUGCCGAGUAUAGGUCAAAAUUUGCAGCUCUCCACUGGCAAGUGGUGGCGUCUCCAUAUGAGUGAAAAAUUCUCGAGAGGGAUGUUAAACAAUAAACAAGCAAAUAAAAAUUAAUAUACCCUCAGCGGGGCAUUCAUGUCCUAUGGACAUAUUUCUAGUUUUGCCCUCUUGUACAUUUGUACAUGGAUAUACUUUUUAUUUUUGCUCUGUAAACAACAACAAAAACAUUAUACCAUAUAAUAUGCACAAAAUUAUAUGCUAGGAAUGUAUUGUGAAAGAUGCAUUUCAGCUGACAAAUGUAGCAUUUUUAAGCCAGCUUUUUAAAUUUUUUUCUGAAUGACUUUCAGGUACUUCUUUUAUAUUUGCAACUCAUUUAUAGGGAUGUAUUAGUAUGGUAGCCUGUCUGCCAACACCUUGUAGAUGAGAUUCUAGCACAAAUUGUGUGAAAUGGUUCUCUUAAUUGACAUGAGAAGGUCACCAUUUUUUAUCAAGAUAAAAAUUACUUGUAUGUCUUGUAAUAACAUUAUUUAAUAUAUCCCUUUCAUAGCACACAUGUUCCUUUCAAAGAGAAGAAAACAUUUAUAAUUUUUCAAGGUCAAUAAUCUCAUGGAUGAAAUGCAAACUGUACUAUUUGAAAUAGGUGGUAUAGGUAUUUCAGAGUCUGUUUUACAUCUUGCCAGUUUAUUGUUUGAGGGAAUAUUCUCAUCAAAUAAACUAUGUAAAGAUUUGCUUUUUAAUGCAAAGUAUUUUUAUAAGUAAUAACUUCAUUUCAACUUACAAUGAACAGUUAAUCAAUGCAUCUCACUUUGUAUAUAAUGCAUUUUAGAACACAGUUUUGUGGUUUAAAACAUGUUGUAAUAAUUUAAUAAUGCUAUUCAUUUUUUUUAAUUGACAAGAAAUGAAAAUGUAAUGAUUAUUUCAAAAUAGUGUUUUAUUCCUCUUAUGUAUAUUUAUAGAUAUGUAAAAGAUUGUUAUUUUUAUUGAUGUUAUGUUUGUGUACAAAAUACUAGUUAUUUAUUACUUUAUACAAAACUAAUGUUGUGAAGAUUGAUAAUAAUAGAAGUCCUUAUGCAUAUAUUGAACAGUAUACAAAUGUCACCAAUGUAAUUUACAAAUAAAAUGAAAUUUUACAUGACUUGCACAUAUUUGCAUUAUUUGUUACAGUUAUAACAAAUCUAAUUCAUUGUAUUUAUGGUUUCCAAUUUUUAUUGUCUAUUCAAACAUGGAAAAAUUAUAUAUGUAAUGAUGUUAAAGACACAAGAAUAUGAAUUAAAAUAAGACUGUAUGAACUACCUUUAGAUUUAUGAAUUCAGUAGACAGUGACUGUGACAAAUGUGUAUUUAGGAUAGAGAUCUUAGACAUGAGAAGAAAAGGGGUUGUUUUACAAACUUUUUUUUGCAUGGGGAAAUAUUGACAUUUUUAUACAACAACAAAUGAAGUUACUGGAAUUGUGAAGUCUACGUGUCUUCUGUGAGUAGACAUCUUUUGAAACAAAGGUAGCUUGUGGCCAGAAAUAUUCUAGACCCAGUAGUAACGGUCUUUUGCACAAGGUCAUAGUCACUGUAUAUCAAAGUAUUAAAUACUUACCAAUAAUUGUUUGUAACCUCAGAGUAUGGUCCUAACACAGGUUAAUACAGGUCAAGGCCAUAGGGUUUAGAAAUGUAAUAAAUAUUCAGAUAAACACAUAAUUCUGUU
Saccostrea echinata is the source of this 3679-nucleotide long non-coding RNA. RefSeq lists it as uncharacterized. Lineage: Eukaryota; Metazoa; Mollusca; Bivalvia; Ostreida; Ostreidae. The transcript is spliced from 5 exons. The record is from RefSeq and is a predicted model, not a curated record.